GUCCAACCCUUGGGGCCCUCAUAAUGGCCCUCGGCUCGAAUAGAAAUCCUAGGCGCCGUGGCGGUCUCUUUCCCUCGCUCCAUCUCGGCUUCUCGCCCUUCCCCGCAAGGUUUACGUUGUGGGCCUGAUCAAAAUGUUUACUGCACGGAAGAAAAUUCAGAAGGACAAGGGCCUUGAGCCAUCAGAGUUUGAGGAGAGUGUUGCUCAGGCAUUAUGUUAUUUGGAGAACAGUAACCAGGAGUUGAAGAGUGACCUGAAAGACCUUUACAUCAAUUCGGCAGUUCAAAUGGAUGUAGCUGGCAACCGGAAAGCUGUUGUUAUACAUAUACCCUACAGACUUCGGAAAGCCUAUAGGAAGAUUCAUGUGAGGCUUGUAAGAGAGUUGGAGAAGAAGUUCAGUGGCAAAGAUGUGAUUCUUAUUGCAACACGAAGGAUAUUGAGGCCACCCAAGCAAGGUUCAGCUGUUGUGCGCCCUCGCAGCCGCACCCUCACUGCUGUUCAUGAUGCCACCUUGGAAGAUGUUGUGUACCCAGCAGAAAUUGUUGGGAGGCGUGUAAGAUAUCAUUUGGAUGGAUCCAAGAUCAUCAAGAUUUUUCUGGACCCAAAGGAACGCAACAACACCGAAUAUAAGCUGGAAACAUUCACUGGAGUCUACCGCAAGCUUUGUGGGAAAGAUGUGGUGUUCGAAUAUCCAGCGACCGAGAGUGCAUGAAGGAAGCUUCCCAUCUCACAGCAUUUUACCGAGACUCGUUUUCAUUCCUUGGUCGCCAUCCUAGCUAAAAGGCAUAAAGGACGUGAAAAUCAAGUCAUUUUGAAGGCCUGCAAAUUUGUAAACGGAUUGGUUUGCUUAUAUGAACACUUGGGAGGCCUCGAAGAAGUUCAAUAAUUCAGCACAUUGCAGAAUAUCUGAGACUGCAUCCAUUAAAUAACCGUCCAAGAGUCUUCUUCAAGCUAGAUUUUUGUAAAUUUUAGUUGUUGAGUAAGCACUAAUAUUCCUUCCUAGGUUGCUCGAACUUCUGCUUGGGAUACAGAAUUUGACGAGAAUUUCCCAGUACUAGCAUAAAUAACAGAGCCAGUGAAGUCCCUAACAAAUGUAACCUGCCCUGCAUUACCUUCCCUCAAUGAUGAUCGGGGCUUGUUUUUUUUUUUUUUUUUUGGAAUUGCCUAUCAUUUCGUGCCAUCCAUA
Phoenix dactylifera (date palm) is the source of this 1186-nucleotide non-coding RNA. The record is from RefSeq and is a predicted model, not a curated record. NCBI's taxonomy places the organism in Eukaryota, Viridiplantae, Streptophyta, Magnoliopsida, Arecales, Arecaceae.